GAUGAACGCUGGCGGCGUGCUUAACACAUGCAAGUCGAACGAGAAAUGGAGACGGAAACCUUCGGGCGGAAGGCUUCAUUUCGAGUGGCGGACGGGUGAGUAACGCGUGGGUAACCUGCCUCAUACAGGGGGAUAACAGUUGGAAACGACUGUUAAUACCGCAUAAGACCACAGCACCGCAUGGUGCGGGGGUAAAAACUCCGGUGGUAUGAGAUGGACCCGCGUUCGAUUAGCCAGUUGGCGGGGUAACGGCCACCAAAGCGACGAUCGAUAGCCGAUCUGAGAGGAUGACCGGCCACAUUGGGACUGAGACACGGCCCAAACUCCUACGGGAGGCAGCAGUGGGGAAUAUUGCACAAUGGGGGAAACCCUGAUGCAGCGACGCCGCGUGAGUGAAGAAGUACUUCGGUAUGUAAAGCUCUAUCAGCAGGGAAGAAAAUGACGGUACCUGAGUAAGAAGCCCCGGCUAACUACGUG
This 477-nucleotide ribosomal RNA is filed under the name uncultured bacterium. RNAcentral's name for it is "partial 16S ribosomal RNA". It matches the Rfam family "Bacterial small subunit ribosomal RNA", at positions 28 to 507 of the family's 1533-position model. The record is from RNAcentral.